AGAGUUUGAUCAUGGCUCAGAGCGAACGCUGGCGGCAGGCCUAACACAUGCAAGUCGAACGAACUCUUCGGAGUUAGUGGCGGACGGGUGAGUAACACGUGGGAACGUGCCUUUUGGUUCGGAAUAACUCAGGGAAACUUGUGCUAAUACCGAAUGUGCCCUUCGGGGGAAAGAUUUAUCGCCAUUAGAGCGGCCCGCGUCUGAUUAGCUAGUUGGUGAGGUAAAGGCUCACCAAGGCGACGAUCAGUAGCUGGUCUGAGAGGAUGAUCAGCCACAUUGGGACUGAGACACGGCCCAAACUCCUACGGGAGGCAGCAGUGGGGAAUCUUGCGCAAUGGGCGAAAGCCUGACGCAGCCAUGCCGCGUGAAUGAUGAAGGUCUUAGGAUUGUAAAAUUCUUUCACCGGGGACGAUAGUGACGGUACCCGGAGAAGAAGCCCCGGCUAACUUCGUGCCAGCAGCCGCGGUAAUACGAAGGGGGCUAGCGUUGCUCGGAAUUACUGGGCGUAAAGGGAGCGUAGGCGGACAUUUAAGUCAGGGGUGAAAUCCCGGGGCUCAACCUCGGAAUUGCCUUUGAUACUGGGUGUCUUGAGUAUGAGAGAGGUAUGUGGAACUCCGAGUGUAGAGGUGAAAUUCGUAGAUAUUCGGAAGAACACCAGUGGCGAAGGCGACAUACUGGCUCAUUACUGACGCUGAGGCUCGAAAGCGUGGGGAGCAAACAGGAUUAGAUACCCUGGUAGUCCACGCCGUAAACGAUGAUUGCUAGUUGUCGGGAUGCAUGCAUUUCGGUGACGCAGC
RNAcentral lists this ribosomal RNA (797 nucleotides) under uncultured Alphaproteobacteria bacterium. RNAcentral's name for it is "bacterial SSU rRNA". It matches the Rfam family "Bacterial small subunit ribosomal RNA", at positions 8 to 852 of the family's 1533-position model. Lineage: Bacteria; Pseudomonadati; Pseudomonadota; Alphaproteobacteria. The record is from RNAcentral.